Molecule: ribosomal RNA, 2903 nt
Filed under: Escherichia coli DEC7C
Lineage: Bacteria; Pseudomonadati; Pseudomonadota; Gammaproteobacteria; Enterobacterales; Enterobacteriaceae
Description: bacterial LSU rRNA
Rfam family: Bacterial large subunit ribosomal RNA
Source: RNAcentral
UUAAGCGACUAAGCGUACACGGUGGAUGCCCUGGCAGUCAGAGGCGAUGAAGGACGUGCUAAUCUGCGAUAAGCGUCGGUAAGGUGAUAUGAACCGUUAUAACCGGCGAUUUCCGAAUGGGGAAACCCAGUGUGUUUCGACACACUAUCAUUAACUGAAUCCAUAGGUUAAUGAGGCGAACCGGGGGAACUGAAACAUCUAAGUACCCCGAGGAAAAGAAAUCAACCGAGAUUCCCCCAGUAGCGGCGAGCGAACGGGGAGCAGCCCAGAGCCUGAAUCAGUGUGUGUGUUAGUGGAAGCGUCUGGAAAGGCGCGCGAUACAGGGUGACAGCCCCGUACACAAAAAUGCACAUACUGUGAGCUCGAUGAGUAGGGCGGGACACGUGGUAUCCUGUCUGAAUAUGGGGGGACCAUCCUCCAAGGCUAAAUACUCCUGACUGACCGAUAGUGAACCAGUACCGUGAGGGAAAGGCGAAAAGAACCCCGGCGAGGGGAGUGAAAAAGAACCUGAAACCGUGUACGUACAAGCAGUGGGAGCACGCUUAGGCGUGUGACUGCGUACCUUUUUGUAUAAUGGGUCAGCGACUUAUAUUCUGUAGCAAGGUUAACCGAAUAGGGGAGCCGAAGGGAAACCGAGUCUUAACUGGGCGUUAAGUUGCAGGGUAUAGACCCGAAACCCGGUGAUCUAGCCAUGGGCAGGUUGAAGGUUGGGUAACACUAACUGGAGGACCGAACCGACUAAUGUUGAAAAAUUAGCGGAUGACUUGUGGCUGGGGGUGAAAGGCCAAUCAAACCGGGAGAUAGCUGGUUCUCCCCGAAAGCUAUUUAGGUAGCGCCUCGUGAAUUCAUCUCCGGGGGUAGAGCACUGUUUCGGCAAGGGGGUCAUCCCGACUUACCAACCCGAUGCAAACUGCGAAUACCGGAGAAUGUUAUCACGGGAGACACACGGCGGGUGCUAACGUCCGUCGUGAAGAGGGAAACAACCCAGACCGCCAGCUAAGGUCCCAAAGUCAUGGUUAAGUGGGAAACGAUGUGGGAAGGCCCAGACAGCCAGGAUGUUGGCUUAGAAGCAGCCAUCAUUUAAAGAAAGCGUAAUAGCUCACUGGUCGAGUCGGCCUGCGCGGAAGAUGUAACGGGGCUAAACCAUGCACCGAAGCUGCGGCAGCGACGCUUAUGCGUUGUUGGGUAGGGGAGCGUUCUGUAAGCCUGUGAAGGUGUGCUGUGAGGCAUGCUGGAGGUAUCAGAAGUGCGAAUGCUGACAUAAGUAACGAUAAAGCGGGUGAAAAGCCCGCUCGCCGGAAGACCAAGGGUUCCUGUCCAACGUUAAUCGGGGCAGGGUGAGUCGACCCCUAAGGCGAGGCCGAAAGGCGUAGUCGAUGGGAAACAGGUUAAUAUUCCUGUACUUGGUGUUACUGCGAAGGGGGGACGGAGAAGGCUAUGUUGGCCGGGCGACGGUUGUCCCGGUUUAAGCGUGUAGGCUGGUUUUCCAGGCAAAUCCGGAAAAUCAAGGCUGAGGCGUGAUGACGAGGCACUACGGUGCUGAAGCAACAAAUGCCCUGCUUCCAGGAAAAGCCUCUAAGCAUCAGGUAACAUCAAAUCGUACCCCAAACCGACACAGGUGGUCAGGUAGAGAAUACCAAGGCGCUUGAGAGAACUCGGGUGAAGGAACUAGGCAAAAUGGUGCCGUAACUUCGGGAGAAGGCACGCUGAUAUGUAGGUGAAGUCCCUCGCGGAUGGAGCUGAAAUCAGUCGAAGAUACCAGCUGGCUGCAACUGUUUAUUAAAAACACAGCACUGUGCAAACACGAAAGUGGACGUAUACGGUGUGACGCCUGCCCGGUGCCGGAAGGUUAAUUGAUGGGGUCAGCGCAAGCGAAGCUCUUGAUCGAAGCCCCGGUAAACGGCGGCCGUAACUAUAACGGUCCUAAGGUAGCGAAAUUCCUUGUCGGGUAAGUUCCGACCUGCACGAAUGGCGUAAUGAUGGCCAGGCUGUCUCCACCCGAGACUCAGUGAAAUUGAACUCGCUGUGAAGAUGCAGUGUACCCGCGGCAAGACGGAAAGACCCCGUGAACCUUUACUAUAGCUUGACACUGAACAUUGAGCCUUGAUGUGUAGGAUAGGUGGGAGGCUUUGAAGUGUGGACGCCAGUCUGCAUGGAGCCGACCUUGAAAUACCACCCUUUAAUGUUUGAUGUUCUAACGUUGACCCGUAAUCCGGGUUGCGGACAGUGUCUGGUGGGUAGUUUGACUGGGGCGGUCUCCUCCUAAAGAGUAACGGAGGAGCACGAAGGUUGGCUAAUCCUGGUCGGACAUCAGGAGGUUAGUGCAAUGGCAUAAGCCAGCUUGACUGCGAGCGUGACGGCGCGAGCAGGUGCGAAAGCAGGUCAUAGUGAUCCGGUGGUUCUGAAUGGAAGGGCCAUCGCUCAACGGAUAAAAGGUACUCCGGGGAUAACAGGCUGAUACCGCCCAAGAGUUCAUAUCGACGGCGGUGUUUGGCACCUCGAUGUCGGCUCAUCACAUCCUGGGGCUGAAGUAGGUCCCAAGGGUAUGGCUGUUCGCCAUUUAAAGUGGUACGCGAGCUGGGUUUAGAACGUCGUGAGACAGUUCGGUCCCUAUCUGCCGUGGGCGCUGGAGAACUGAGGGGGGCUGCUCCUAGUACGAGAGGACCGGAGUGGACGCAUCACUGGUGUUCGGGUUGUCAUGCCAAUGGCACUGCCCGGUAGCUAAAUGCGGAAGAGAUAAGUGCUGAAAGCAUCUAAGCACGAAACUUGCCCCGAGAUGAGUUCUCCCUGACUCCUUGAGAGUCCUGAAGGAACGUUGAAGACGACGACGUUGAUAGGCCGGGUGUGUAAGCGCAGCGAUGCGUUGAGCUAACCGGUACUAAUGAACCGUGAGGCUUAACCUU